UAAAGCAAGAAAGGGCGUAUGGGGAAUGCCUAGGCACACUCCGGCGAAGAAGGACGCAGCAAACAGCGAAAUGCGACGGUGAGCGGUAAGCACGUGAAGAGCCGUCGAUAUCCGAAUGGGGGAACCCACACGGAGUCAUAUCCGUGUAUCACAUGUCGAAUACAUAGACAUGAUGAGGCGAGACGCAGGGAACUGAAACAUCUAAGUACCUGCAGGAAGAGAAAAUAAGAAUGAUUUUCUGAGUAGCGGCGAGCGAAAGGGAAAGAGCCCAAACCGAUUUUAGGAUCGGGGUAGUAGGAUCAUCGAGGAAUCUGACAGAGGAUCAUAGAGGAAUCACAUGGGAAGGUGAGCGAGAGAGGGUGAGAGCCCCGUACUCGAAAUGAGAGACUGGAGAGAGAUGACACCUGAGUAGGGCGGGACACGAGAAAUCCUGUCUGAAUCAGCCGGGACCAUCCGGCAAGGCUAAAUACGAGAGAGUGACCGAUAGUGAACCAGUACCGUGAGGGAAAGGUGAAAAGAACCCCGGGAGGGGAGUGAAAGAGAACCUGAAACCAUAUGCCUACAAGAAGUCAGAGCCCGUUAAAGGGUGAUGGCGUGCCUUUUGUAGAAUGAACCGGCGAGUUACUGUAUGGAGCGAGGUUAAGCAGGAUAUGCGGAGCCGAAGCGAAAGCGAGUCUUAAGAGGGCGCGAGUUGCAUGCAGUAGACCCGAAACCGGGUGAUCUAGCCAUGACCAGGUUGAAGUUGGGGUAAAACCCGAUGGAGGACCGAACCGACCCCCGUUGAAACGUUGGCGGAUGAGUUGUGGCUAGGGGUGAAAUUCCAAUCGAACCCGGAGAUAGCUGGUUCUCCCCGAAAUAGCUUUAGGGCUAGCGUCGAGAGAAGAGUUGCGUGAAGGUAGAGCACUGAAUAUGUGAUGGCCCCAUCUCGGGGUACUGAGCAUAAUCAAACUGCGAAUGUCACGCCAACAUGCUCGGCAGUCAGACAGCGGGUGAUAAGGUCCGUUGUCAAGAGGGAAACAGCCCAGACCAUCAGCUAAGGUCCCAAAAUGUAUGCUAAGUGGAAAAGGAUGUGGAGAUGUACAGACAACUAGGAGGUUGGCUCAGAAGCAGCCAUCCUUUAAAGAGUGCGUAACAGCUCACUAGUCGAAUGACUCUGCGCCGAUAAUUUACCGGGGCUAAGCAUACUACCGAAGCUAUGGAUCCCAAGGGAUGGUAGGGGAGCGUUCCAUGAACGGAGAAGCGUGAUCGAGAGGACGCGUGGAGAUCAUGGAAGAGAGAAUGCCGGUGUGAGUAGCGGAACGUGGGUGAGAAUCCCACGCACCGAAAACCCAAGGUUUCCAGAGGAAGGUUCGUCCGCUCUGGGUAAGUCGGGACCUAAGGCGAGGCCGAAAGGCGUAGUCGAUGGACAACAGGUAGAGAUUCCUGUACCCGUAUAUAUGUGAAGGAAUGACGGAGAGAGGAAGCUGCAGCCAGCGGCUGGAAGAGCUGGUGCAAGCGAGAUAUCGGGAUGGCAGGCAAAUCCACCAUCCGAAACGAGAAGGCGUGAAGCGUACGGAAAGCUACGGCGAGUACGGAAGGCAGUGGAGGAACUUCCAAGAAAAGUUUCUAACGUUAAGUAUAUAUGGCCCGUACCGAAAAUGGACACACAUGGGUGAGGAGAGAAUCCUAAGGUGAGCGAGAGAACUAUAGCUAAGGAACUCUGCAAAAUGACUCCGUAACUUAGGGAGAAGGAGUGCUCAUAGAGAUAUGAGCCGCAGUGAAACGGCCCAAGCGACUGUUUACCAAAAACACAGCUCUCUGCUAAGCCGCAAGGCGAAGUAUAGGGGGUGACGCCUGCCCGGUGCUGGAAGGUUAAGGGGAGGGGUUAACGCAAGUGAAGCCCUGAACUGAAGCCCCAGUAAACGGCGGCCGUAACUAUAACGGUCCUAAGGUAGCGAAAUUCCUUGUCAGGUAAGUUCUGACCCG
RNAcentral lists this ribosomal RNA (1965 nucleotides) under human gut metagenome. RNAcentral's name for it is "bacterial LSU rRNA". It matches the Rfam family "Bacterial large subunit ribosomal RNA", at positions 1 to 1990 of the family's 2925-position model. The record is from RNAcentral.